This is a long non-coding RNA of Acanthopagrus latus (yellowfin seabream), 708 nucleotides long. RefSeq lists it as uncharacterized. The record is from RefSeq and is a predicted model, not a curated record. NCBI's taxonomy places the organism in Eukaryota, Metazoa, Chordata, Actinopteri, Spariformes, Sparidae. The transcript has 3 exons.
UCUAAAGAACACUGUGUCUCUGGGCCUCAAGAUCGUUUAAACCAUGAAGACGCAGCAUAUAAGAAAAGACAAAUGGCCUCUUGUUGCAGGAACAGAUGUGAGGGAUGCCUGGAGAUUUUAAAGCAGGACUUUAUCGCCCUCUACUGGCCCCACAGCCACAGAACCAGCUGUACAGAGUCAGCUGACCCGUCCUGGAAGUUACAGGCCUUUGCUGUACAGACAAAGGUUCCUGUUGUCAUGUGUGCUCUCUGAAACAUCAGCACUGACCUUCAGGUGAUGUAAACAUUGUAACAUAAUACAUGUCUCAGUUUUUCAACCAACGCUGCCAAUGACCAGUUUGAAGUGGAACCAGCAGAGCUUCAUCAGAACACAUCAAGAGUCAGAAUCUGUUGUUCUCUGUCCUCAUUCAAGUAUCUGCGCAGACAAUAACGUUCCAUCAUAUCCUGUCUUAAACUCAUCAGGAGUAGGAGUACAACCAUUAUUAGACCUGGAUGAUUACCUGGUAUUAACCUGGGAUUAAAGAUGUGUAAAUGUGGCUCCGAUGUAACAUCCUCUCACACAACAAUAUCUGACUGGUAACGUGUCAAAAUAUACAUCAUCUAUAAACACUAAUCAUCUUAAUCUGCAAAGUAACUUGUAACUAAAUGUAUCAAAUAAAGUAUUGUAAAUGGAAACACUCAAGAAAAGUAAUUGUACUUAAUGACAGUA